AUACGGGGGAUUCAAGCGUUAUCCGGACUUAUUGGGUUUAAAGGGUGCGUAGGCUGAUAAAUCAGUCAGCGGUGAAAUUUACGGGCUUAACUUGUAGCUUGCCGUUGAAACUAUUUAUCUAGAGAUAUUUCGGCGUAUGCGGAAUGUAUCAAGUAGCGGUGAAAUGCAUAGAUAUGCUACAGAACACCAAUCGCGAAGGCAGCAUACGAGGCAUCAUCUGACGCUGAUGCACGAAAGCGUGGGGAUCAAACAGGAUUAGAUACCCUGGUAGUCCGCACAGUAAACGAUGAAUACUUGUUUUCGGCGAUAUAAUGUCGGAGGCAAAGCGAAAGCGUUAAGUGUCCCACCUGGGGAGUACGCCGGCAACGGUGAAACUCAAAGGAAUUGGCGGGG
This 393-nucleotide ribosomal RNA is filed under the name uncultured bacterium. RNAcentral's name for it is "partial 16S ribosomal RNA". It matches the Rfam family "Bacterial small subunit ribosomal RNA", at positions 523 to 918 of the family's 1533-position model. The record is from RNAcentral.